AGUGAACGCUGGCGGUAGGCCUAACACAUGCAAGUCGAACGGCAGCACAGUAAGAGCUUGCUCUUACGGGUGGCGAGUGGCGGACGGGUGAGGAAUACAUCGGAAUCUACUUUUUCGUGGGGGAUAACGUAGGGAAACUUACGCUAAUACCGCAUACGACCUACGGGUGAAAGCAGGGGAUCUUCGGACCUUGCGCGAUUGAAUGAGCCGAUGUCGGAUUAGCUAGUUGGCGGGGUAAAGGCCCACCAAGGCGACGAUCCGUAGCUGGUCUGAGAGGAUGAUCAGCCACACUGGAACUGAGACACGGUCCAGACUCCUACGGGAGGCAGCAGUGGGGAAUAUUGGACAAUGGGCGCAAGCCUGAUCCAGCCAUACCGCGUGGGUGAAGAAGGCCUUCGGGCUGUAAGGCCCUUUUGUUGGGAAAGAAAAGCAGCAGGUUAAUACCCCGCUGUUCUGACGGUACCCAAAGAAUAAGCACCGGCUAACUUCGUG
RNAcentral lists this ribosomal RNA (492 nucleotides) under uncultured bacterium. RNAcentral describes it as "partial 16S ribosomal RNA". It matches the Rfam family "Bacterial small subunit ribosomal RNA", at positions 29 to 507 of the family's 1533-position model. The record is from RNAcentral.